This 448-nucleotide ribosomal RNA is filed under the name uncultured bacterium. RNAcentral describes it as "bacterial SSU rRNA". It matches the Rfam family "Bacterial small subunit ribosomal RNA", at positions 64 to 507 of the family's 1533-position model. The record is from RNAcentral.
GAGCGGUAGAGAGAAGCUUGCUUCUCUUGAGAGCGGCGGACGGGUGAGUAAUGCCUAGGAAUCUGCCUGGUAGUGGGGGAUAACGUUCGGAAACGAACGCUAAUACCGCAUACGUCCUACGGGAGAAAGCAGGGGACCUUCGGGCCUUGCGCUAUCAGAUGAGCCUAGGUCGGAUUAGCUAUUUGGUGAGGUAAUGGCUCACCAAGGCGACGAUCCGUAACUGGUCUGAGAGGAUGAUCAGUCACACUGGAACUGAGACACGGUCCAGACUCCUACGGGAGGCAGCAGUGGGGAAUAUUGGACAAUGGGCGAAAGCCUGAUCCAGCCAUGCCGCGUGUGUGAAGAAGGUCUUCGGAUUGUAAAGCACUUUAAGUUGGGAGGAAGGGCAGUUACCUAAUACGUGAUUGUUUUGACGUUACCGACAGAAUAAGCACCGGCUAACUCUGUG